Sardina pilchardus (European sardine) is the source of this 646-nucleotide long non-coding RNA. RefSeq lists it as uncharacterized. Lineage: Eukaryota; Metazoa; Chordata; Actinopteri; Clupeiformes; Clupeidae. The record is from RefSeq and is a predicted model, not a curated record. The transcript is spliced from 4 exons.
GUCACUUGUCAUUCUGCUGCUCCAUCCAGUCCGCAACGGUUAUUGUGCGCAUUUAAAAUGUGCGCCUGUUUUAAAUAAUCUCAAUGGUCACAAUGACAUUGGGGCUACAGCUGUGGUUCAUCAGAGCAACACUGCAGGAAGGAGAGAUAGAAGAUUUAACCGACCGCAGCCUCGAAAUAGAGAGUGAUGCAGAGGCUCUGUGCAAGGCUUGUGUCCCCCCUCGGCCGUUGCGCUCCUCCAAAGAAGGUCAUCUGGUACUGCCGCCCUCCGCACAUGGCAAUCUAGAGCGUUCUCAUUUGUGGUCCCUCGAUGGUGGAACGACCUGCCAAGUGCCACCACAGCAGGGACGUCCCUCUCUGUCUUGAAGAAGCUCUUAAAGACCCAACUCUAAGGACAGGGCUUGCACGUCACGCCGCGUGGCACGUCGGGCAGCAGAAGAUGCUGCUGUGCGUCUAGCACGCCUGUGGGCCACCAGAGCUACUGUAUCCCACGGCACAGCUGGGAUCUAGUCCUCAACCGCCUCGCAUUGUCUCCUCCUCUGACUCAAGGUGAGUCACUUCCUCAACUGAACAAUGUGCCACUACAGAGAGAACAACACAGCACUUACUGUGGACCGCACCGAAAGUCCAGGUCAAGUUUAUGAUAG